RNAcentral lists this non-coding RNA (98 nucleotides) under Roseburia sp. CAG:18. RNAcentral's name for it is "SAM riboswitch aptamer (S box leader)". It matches the Rfam family "SAM riboswitch aptamer (S box leader)". Rfam says of the family: The SAM riboswitch is found upstream of a number of genes which code for proteins involved in methionine or cysteine biosynthesis in Gram-positive bacteria. The SAM riboswitch acts at the level of transcription termination control. RNAcentral also lists the same sequence under 1 other name. The record is from Rfam by way of RNAcentral. Lineage: Bacteria; Bacillati; Bacillota; Clostridia; Lachnospirales; Lachnospiraceae.
CUCUUAUUCAGAGUGAUGGAGAUACAUAGGAUCUGUGAAGUCACGGCAACCCCUGUUUGGAAGGUGCCAACCUGAGCGAGUUAAUCGAACAAUAAGGG